RNA transcript from Nomascus leucogenys (northern white-cheeked gibbon), 562 nucleotides. It is a transcript of the gene named 40S ribosomal protein S10-like, with no coding region annotated. The transcript has 4 exons. NCBI's taxonomy places the organism in Eukaryota, Metazoa, Chordata, Mammalia, Primates, Hylobatidae. The record is from RefSeq and is a predicted model, not a curated record.
AUGGUCAUGUUGGAUAGUCCUGGGCAGGCAAGAGGAAAGUUGAGUAAAUGUGUGUCUAAAACGUGCAUUUCUAGAACGCUGAUGCCUAAGAAGAACCGGAUUGCCAUUUAUGAAACUCCUUUUUAAAGAGGAAGUCACGGUGGUCAAGAAGGAUGUCCACAUGCCUAAGCACCUGGAGCUGGCAGACAAGAAUAAUGUGCCCAACCUUCACGUCAUGUGGUCCCGAGGCUACUACGUGAAGGAACAGUUUGCCUGGAGACAUUUCUACUGGUACCUUACCAAUGAGGGUAUCCAGUAUCUCCGUGAUUACCUUCAUCUGCCCCUGGAGAUUGUGCCUCCCACCCUACGCCGCAGCCGUCCAGGGACUGGCAGGCCUGGGUCUAAAGUUCUGGAGGGUGAGCGACCUGCAAGACUCACAAGAGGGGAAGCCGACAGAGAUACCUACAGAGGGAGUGCUGUGCCCCCUGGUGCCGACAAGAAAGCCGAGGCUGGGGCUGGGUCAGCAACCGAAUUCCAGUUUAGAGGCGGAUUUGGUCGUGGACGCCGUCAGCCACCUCAGUAA